Ctenopharyngodon idella (grass carp) is the source of this 8442-nucleotide RNA transcript. RefSeq lists it as uncharacterized. NCBI's taxonomy places the organism in Eukaryota, Metazoa, Chordata, Actinopteri, Cypriniformes, Xenocyprididae. The transcript has 13 exons. The record is from RefSeq and is a predicted model, not a curated record.
GCUUUUAGGAUUUUUUUUGUCGAGUUAGGAUGCUUCUGUAAUACCCGUUUCCUAUCCAUAGUUAAGAUAAGAUUAUGCACUUAAGAAAUGUCAUUCUCUAAUAGCGUUUGUCCUAAACGAGGUCCUAUAACUGAAAUUGCCAUGGUUACCAAACAGAUAAGAUAGGAUUCUAAAGUUAAGAUCUUUCUGUAAUACGCCCCUAGAUUUUACAACUCUUUGUAUUAUAUAUGUGUCAUUAAAUGUCUACAAAAAAAAAAAAAAAAAAAAAACCUUCAUUACUAAGGUGAAUUCGGUCUUUUAAUAUCACUUUCACAUUAGUUCUUAGUACCUGGUAAAAAUGACUGUCAGGCAAUAGAGCAAAAGCCUUCCAGGUAGGUGUCAUGUGACAGGUUCAGUAUCAGUGGGUGCGGCUUUAAGACAAACAGUGGCGAUUCGGCGGAACACAAAGAUACAAAAAUAUAUUCGAACAUCUUUAUUAAAUUCAGAUUCUUCACAGCUCUACAACAACAUGAGCAACUGGUUACUGUUUCUGUUUUUAUUAUUAAUGUACGGAGUGUUUGGUGCAGAGCCAGAUGAAACUGAGCCAGCGACCGUGAUUGAAGGAGAUUCUGUCACUCUACACACUAACCUUUCUGAACUACUGAACGAUGAUACGAUACUGUGGCUGUUUGGACCUAAAGACUCUCUCAUAUCUCAGAUAAAGAGAAAGGAUGACCUGACCUCAUUUUUUGUCACUGAUGAUGAGAGAUUCAGAGUCAGAUUGCAGGUGGACCAAAAGACAGGAUCUCUCACCAUCAGAAACUCCAGAAUCAGACACUCGGGACAAUAUAAAGUCACCAUCUCUAGAGAAAAGACUACAAUAAAGAUAUUUAGACUUGCUGUCAUUGGUGUGGUUGGUGAGACGGAUGGAGUGAAGUCAGUGUCAGUAUCAGUGACAGAGGGACAAACUGUCACUCUAGCCAUGGAUGCUGAAAUGCCCAAAGAUGCUCUGAUGCUGUGGAGGUUUGGAGAUAAAGGCAUCCUCCUAGCUAAAAUUGAUGUUGAAACUAAUGAAAUCUCAUUAAACAAUGCUGAUGAGAGAUUCAGAGAUCGGCUGCAGCUGAAUCAGAAUGGAUCUCUGAUUAUCAAGAACACCAGAACCACAGACGCUGGACUCUAUGAGCUACAAAUCAGAGGCAGUGAGAGCUCACGGCGAUUCCUUCUUUCGGUCAAUGCCAUCCCAGAUCCAGGUCUUUCUUCAGGUGCUAUAGCAGGAAUUUGUUUUGGUGUUUUAAUUCCUGUUCUGCUGCUUGUGGCUGCAGCCUUUCGUAUGAUUUACUAUCGCCAUAGGAUCUCUAAAUUAAAAAAGCAAAUGGCUGUGGCAUGUGAAGUGAAGGAAGAGACAGUGACGGAGGGAGAUUGUCCAACUCUACACACUGGUCUUACUGAAAUACAUGGUAACGAUACAAUAGAGUGGUGCUAUGAAGCUGAAGACAAUUACAUUGCUGAAAUCAGUGGGGGAACCAGAAGGCCAUCUACAUUGGUGGGUGCUGAUGGGAGAUUCAGAAGCAAACUGAUGCUGGAUGAGAGAACUGGAGAUCUCACGAUCAGUAACGUCAGAACCAUUCACUCUGGACUCUAUAAACUCAAGAUCAGCAGCAGCAGCAAUAGCACAAUAAAAAUCAAACACAAGAGAUUCAUUCUUACUGUCAAUGUGAAGUCAGUGUCUGUGAAGGAGGGAGGUUCUGUCCUUCUCCAGACUGCUGCUAAUAUUCAGACCGAUGAUCUAAUACUGUGGACAUUUGGACCUAAACACCGUCUCGUUGUUAAAAGUGAUUCAGGAAAGAUAAGUAUUGGUAAGCGAUUUAGAGACCGACUGGAUCUGAACCAGAUAACUGGAUCACUGACCAUCAAAAACAUCGGAACCACAGACUCUGGACAUUUUGAACUACAGAUCAUCAACAGCGAACAGACCACAUUCAGAAGAUUCAAUGUGACUGUCACUGAUUCCACAGGCGAACAGGUGAAUGAACAAACAACUGUAGUGACACCUCUAUUGAAUGAGGAAGUUACUGACGGAGCAAAUGAGCAGCAGGCAACGAGUCCAGUUUGAUUAGAUAAGACAUAGCCACCACUGCGACAUCAUCGACAAUCAAGCUCAACAACAUUUAUGCUGUUGUUAAAAAAUAUGAAAAAUGAACCCGCAUACUGGAUAUAGUUUGAAUGAAUUCUUGUGUGAUGAGCACAGUUUAACAGCAGGUUACAGAAGACGCGAUAACUGAUGUGGCAUGAGCAGAGAGAGAUUCAAGGCUUUAAAGUCAGCAUGAAACGGAAGUUGCGAUUGCGACCUGUGCCUAGACACGACGACAACGCAGCCCUGAAGUGGCAGCAGAGAUUGUGCCAACUAGAUCAUCCCCUGUGAAGGUCUCACCGUCACGACAGCCAGUGGCACAGAUUCCCAACAAUACGAUCUUCAACUAGAUGGAACUGGAUUCAAUAUUUUGAAUGUUGCAAUCCUAAUCGGACUUAUGACCUGUAGCGCUGCCUGAAUCAUAAUUAUGCACUGUUCGCUGUUGGCCAGAGGAGAACUGGCCCCCCAACUGAGCCUGGUUUCUCCCAAGGUUUUUUUCUCCAUUUUUGUCGCCUGUUGGUCACCGGAUGCCAAAAAACGAGCGUUUAAGGACACAAAUGUGGAUACAGGCAAUUGAGACAGAUCGUUAUGCAUAAUACUCUGAGAACUACUGUAUGCCCACUGGAGGGGAACGUAAUCGGCGACAGGAUAUGCUAAAAAUAAAAAUAUUCACUAUUCACAAAAAAAAAAGUUUACUGACUAAAUGUUUACUGCACAUAGGCAUACUGAGUGUCAGGAUCCCACAAUUUUAAUCUUUCUUCCUGCUGAUGCUUCAUGUCUUACCCAGAUAGCAACUUUGUGUCGGCCCAGAUCCGGCCCACAUCUGGCACAUGGGGAAUGAUGAUCUGGCCCACAUUUGGCAGGAAUGAUGGCACUUGGGCGGACCGCUCCUGUUUGCCAGAUCUGGGCCACAAUCAGGCCAUAGAAAUGCCACAUGUCAGCCAAGAGCAAAGAAAUAAAACAACUGGACCUUAUCUGAUCCACAAAAUCUUUAUAUAUUAUUUAUAGAGUCAUCUCAGCAUUAACAAGCCUGUUAUCAAGCAGAAUCACUGAAGGAAAGAAGAAAAAAAAAAAAAGAGAAGAGCAGAAACACAAGAACUACAACCGACUUCAGCCACAGCCUUAGAUGAAAUCAACUGAAGAUAAAAGACAUUAAAUCUCUGAAGAUCUGAUUAAACAACUCCACAAACAGCAUUACCAGCUUCACUUAUUACUAACCAGACUGACUUUAUUUCUGUCACACGUCUACAGAAGUUCUUAUUAAGAAUUAACAGAAGUUUAACUCUCAUGUUUGUUUCAUUUGAGGUUACCAUGAUGGUGAUUGAUGUUUCCAUUAGUUGGCCUCUUAACUUUUAUUAGAUAUUUGUUUAUUCUGGCUGUUGUGAUAAUGUGUUUGGUAAGCACAUUUGCAGUAACAACAAAAAUUGAAGUGAGAUUGGGUGUUGGCAAUUAUUUUGAAAAAGCUGAUCUUCUGCUGUAGAAUCACAGUGCUGCUGUAAUCAAUAAUGUAAAUCUAACUCAGAGAUUGGGCUCUAAAUGAGUUCAGCGAUUCAGAUCAAAUAGUGAUUAUGUGAAAACAUAACCAACACCACCUGAUCAUCUCUUCACUUUGCUUGUCUGGUUGUUAUAACUCAGUUACAACAGCCCAAACAAAAUCUACCAUUAAAAAGUCAAUGGUCAAGAGCUCAACUAAAGCAAACCCUGACCUCUGUGAUGGUUUCUUAAAAAUUGUGAUUUUUCUCCUUUGGUGAUUCAGCUUGUUAUCAUCAGGUGUCUUCAAUAAUAUUCAAUCAUCACCUCAAUUAAACACUUAUUUAUCUCAUUAACUUUAACACUGCUUCAGUGGGUGGAAUAAAAAUAUGGCAGGACUUUUACUUUCUGACCCCUGGACUUUCCACCUCUGCUAGGGAGCAGAUUGAGACGCACGCAUAGUCAACGGAGAGAGUUGGAUUGUUUCCCCCCCACGAUGUGGGCGUGGCCUAAAUGCCCUCUGUUUCUAUAUGUGAAUCUGCGGGAACGUACUCGGUCAUGUGAAUAGAUCCCUAAAAUAACUUGCGCUAUAGUUUCUACAUUUCUUUAGAGGAUGAAAUUACUGGGACUCUUGAAAUGUUAUUCUUAUCGCCGAGAAAAGUCGUAUUCGAUGUAACGUCUCUCCGUUUAGUGUUUAGUACUUUUUGUUAUGGUGUUUUGAGCUUUUUUUAUCAGACUGGAUGCGGCUUCGUGACGACAAACGCAAUGGAGGUUAACAGCAUAAAAAUAUAAAAUAAUCUCAUUGACCAUCUUUAUUAAAUUCAGAUUCUUCACAGACCUGCAAAACCACGAGGAAGAUGUUAGUCUUUCUGUUCUUAUUAAUGGCUGGAGCGUCAGGUGCAGAAACUGAUGAAAUUGAGGCCGUGUUGGUGGUAGAGGGGGAUGCUGUUACUCUACACACUGAUAUUUCUGAAAUACAGAAUGAUGAUACGAUACUAUGGAUGUUUGGACCCAAAGACUCUCUCAUAUCUCAAAUACGGAGAAAGGACGACCUGACUACAUUUUUUGUCACUGAAGAUGUUGGAUUCAGAGGUAGAUUGCAGGUGAACCAAGAGACUGGAUCUCUCACCAUCAGAAACACCAGAAUCAGACACUCUGGACAAUAUAAAGUCACCAUCUCUAGAAAGAAGAUUUCAUCCAAGAUAUUUAAUGUUACUGUCUUUGGUGUGGUUAGUGAGACAGAUGGAGUGAAAGUCAGUGUCAUUAUCAGUGAUUGAGGGAGAUCCUGUCACUCUACAUGCUGAUUCUGAAGUACACCAAGAUGCUCUGAUGCUGUGGAGGUUUGGAGAUAAAGGCAUCCUCCUUGCUAAAAUCGAUAUUGAGACCAACGAAACCUCGUUAAAUGCUGAUGAGAGAUUCAGAGACCGACUGAAGCUGGAUCAGACUGGAUUUCUGACUAUCAAGAACACCAAAACCACAGACUCUGGACUCUAUGAGCUACAGAUUAGAGGCAGUGAGAGCUUAUGGCGAUUCCUGGUUUCUGUCCGUGCUGUCCCAGAUCCAGGUCUUUCUUCAGGUGUUAUAGCAGGGAUAGUUGCUGGUGUUUUGAUUUCUGUUCUGGCUGCAGCUGUUGCUUUGAUUUACUAUAACCACAGGAUCUCUAAAUUAAAAAGGCAAAUGGGCAAAGAGAAGGAAGAGACAGUGACAGAGGGAGAAUCUGUCACUCUACAGACUGAUACUACUGAAAUACAGGAAAGUAUUACGAUAAAGUGGUGCUAUGAAACUGAAGACAAUCUCAUUGCUGAAAUUAAAAGAGGGACCAGAAACACAUGGGAGGGUGCUGAUGGGAGAUUCUGGAGCAAACUGAGUCUGAAUGAAAGAACUGGAGAUCUCACUAUUAGUAACGUCAGAACCAUUCACUCUGGACUCUAUAAACUCAAGAUCAGCAGCAGCAGCAGAAGAACCAAAUACAAGAGAUUCAUUCUUACCGUCAAUGUGAGGACAGUGUCAGUGGAGGAGGGAGGUUCUGUCACUCUCCAGACUAAUGCUAAAAUACAGAGAGAUUAUCUGAUUCUGUGGACAUUUGGAGCUGAAAACCUUUUCAUUGUUAAAAAAGAUUCAGAAACGACUCGUAUUAGUGAGAGAUUCAGAGGCAGACUUAGACUGGGCAAGAGGACAGGAUCUUUGACCAUCACAAACAUCACAAAAACAGACUCUGGACAUUUUAAACUACAGAUCAUCAACGGUGAAAAGACCACAUUCAGGAGAUUCAAUGUGACUGUCACCGGAAACAGAGUGGGUGAUUUAGUGACUGUAGUGAUGCCGCUGCUGAAUGGAGAUGAUCUGGAUGGAGUGAAUGAGCAGGAAGAGACGUGGUCACUUUAAUGGAAUAAGACACGCCCACCAGUGGCAAACACUGUGACAUCAUCAACGUUAGACCUCAACAACAUAGUUCUGUAUUUAUGAAAGUGAUAAGUGAACCUGUAUGCUGGAAAAAGUUGGAAUGAAGCAUUGUUGUGAUCAUUAUGUGCCUAACAGCAGGUUACACUUGAAGUGAGCCGAACCUCAAAGGAUGCAUUUUUUUGCAGUGAUGCCACUGAAGAACCAUUUUUGAUUCUCCAAAAACAGUGCACAGUUCUUAAAACAACCAUUUUUUCAUCUAAAGAAGCUUUUCUCACUAUAAAAAAAAACAACUUUUGUGGAAUGGAAAGGUUCAGUGGAAGCACAGAUGCCAGUAAAGAACCUUUAAAGGCUCAUGAAACCCCAGAACACAUUUUUUGUGAUGUGAACAGAUAUGGACAAGUGGAACAAGUGGAAAUUGGUUAUUUUUGCAUUUUUCAGCGCAAUGUUGUACUUCCGGUUUGAAAAGCAAGUUGAAGCUACGUUACAAAAUCUGACGUAGAUUUGGUCCUCGGAGUGUGUCUAUGUCACGUGUGUGUGUCUACGAAUCUACGUCACACGGUUCUCUGCAUUUAUUCAUGAGAAAGAGCUUGCUCAGUCCAAUCCCUGCGCAUAAGAAUAUAAUUGCGGUAUUACGCAUGAGGAACUAUCACUUCUGUUCAGUGUUGCCAAUUUAGUGAUUUUGUCACUACGUAGAUUUAGUGACUUCCCUGCCCCUUUUGAGACUUUUUUCAAAAGUUUAGGGACAAAUCUAGCAACUUUUUGGACAAACCUUAUCUAGAUUCAUGACACUUUAAUUCAUGUACGACACUUUGUUUAGUAUUGACAGUUUUAGGAGUGUUUUAUCUUGUACAUUACAAAGGGAGUGUUGAUUUUUUAUUUUCCUAUUAUUAUUUACUUCAGUAUUUAUUUACUCUUAUUCUGUUUCUGUUAAUGUUGUUGUAAGUCAAAUCUUAAACAAAUCUUAAAGUUUUUAUCAUCAUGGGACUAUGUUGUGGGCAUUGAGAAGACUAUUCAGUUCAAUCUACAGUAUAUAUAUCUGCACCUUUUGACUGGCAGAAGAAUUUAACAAGAUUGUUUUGGAUAUCAGGGGAAAAAAAGGGAUGGUCCAGUAAGGCUGGAUCUGGGUAAUAGCUGCUGGAUAAAGUGGAUCAUACAUGCUAUAUCAUCAUUAUCAUCAAUAUCAUCAAAAAAAAAAAAGCAUGUUAGCUUUAUUAGUAUAGGUUAAAUCUUUUAAAACUUUUAAACUCAUAGGAACAUAAAAUUUUGAAACGUAAAACUCAGAGGAACAUAAAAUUUGAUCUCCAAGCACAUUUACCGUAAUGUAAGGAUCUUGUCUGCUAUUUAGUAUUGGUUGUUUAGUAGUAAGAUAGAUAGAAUCACAUUGAUCACUCAACAACACACUGGAGAGAGAGUUGAGAACAUGAGAGUGUUUAAAAAGAGAAUGUUUCCAUAUUCAGUGACAAGGGAGAGCCAAAGCAGCUGCUAGAAAUAACUUGAUUGACUUGAGUUUGAUUAAAUCAUAUUACAUUUUUGUUUCUCAAUUGAUUUGACACAUUUCUCCAAAUGAAUGUAAUUGCUCUCAAACAAUUAACACACACUGUAAAAAAUGAAUGUGAUUUUAAAGGUAAAAUAUUAUAAAAAGGCUACGGAAUUUUUUUUUUUUUUUACAAUUUUUAGAAGUAAAAAGGAACAAAUCAUGUAAAAUGUAAAAUUUACAGUCAAAAACUGUAAACUGAUAUUCCCACAAUUCCCUGUGACACUCCACAUUUUAAAGUAUUUUGUUUAAAUAAUCAUGUUUCUUAAUAGUUUUGUUAUCAGUUAUGUACAUUAGGGUUUUAUGUUACAUCUUCUGUUGUUUAAUGAAUGUUUAUUGCAUUAUGUAAGUGUUGUGGGUUACCAUGAUGGUGUUUUGCGUUUGCGUGAAUGACUCUUUGCACCUUCUUUAUAUUAGUAUAUACUUCAGCUUGUGGAAAAGUUACUUGUGAUGAAUUCUGAUUCUUCAUGUGGCUUUCAACCUGCAUUAUUAUGGUGGUUGUCAGUAUAUGUUAAAGGUACAAAACAGAUUUUAGUAGUGUGCAAUGUUGAAUUUACUGGUUUACAUUCAAAUUUUGAAACUCUAGAUGGUGCAGGCUGAUAGGUUUAACUAAUUAGGUAGCGAUCAUGUCACUAUCUACAUAGCAGUUUAUUGGUUGUUGUUGCCUCAGCGGCAAAUGAGCUGUGGCUCAACAUUCAAACAAAUAAUGGUGUGUUGCUGGUAGUAGUAUGCAGCGCGCUUUAAAGUAAAUAAGCAUUCAUAUUCAAUAGGAUUACAUCUUAGUGAAUUGGUGAAUUGUGUAUUGUUUUGCACUUUUGCUCAACACUAGCACUUAAAAGAACUGUAGUAUGAGACCACAUUGUGUUAUUAUAGAUUAUUCACUUGCUUGUUUGAAAAAUCGUUUAAAUAAAUGUUCAUAUAAAGA